This is an RNA transcript of Cydia pomonella (codling moth), 1082 nucleotides long. It is a transcript of the gene named histidine-rich glycoprotein-like, with no coding region annotated. NCBI's taxonomy places the organism in Eukaryota, Metazoa, Arthropoda, Insecta, Lepidoptera, Tortricidae. The record is from RefSeq and is a predicted model, not a curated record. The transcript is spliced from 2 exons.
CACAUCAUAUGUCCACACCUCUGCCACUUCCUCUGCUUAAUCACUUCACACUACUUCUACCCUUUAUCAGUGGUUUCACAAAAGUCUCAUAAACAAACUCGAUGAUUCAUACGAAGUACGAAAUACAUAUAUCCGUUUCGAUUAAUACCUACGUACUUUGACAUCCGACAAAAUGAUUAAGUACUCGGCCAAUAAUUUAUGAUUCUCAGCUCUCUCUCACCAAGAUAAAUAUUAUAUACGUUUUUUAAAUGUAAAAGUAAUAGUGAUACGAGCAAUAUAUUGUUUACAAUUUGGCAGAAUAAGAGCCAUGGGUGAGCUUAAAAAUCUGUUUGGUUUUAGGUGUAAACUUUGACACUCGAUUGUUACAUUUCUUCCAAAUAUACGUGGUUUACCUUACAUAUAUAUAAAUAUCUUGUCAACCGCUAGACUUAAAAUCUAAUAAUGAUUAACAUUUUCGCUAAAUACAGUCAUACGUAUGUGGAGAUAGGCGUUAUCAUUUCCCCGAAGUGCUUUACGGACGUGGUGAUACGUUAUCAAUACGAUGAUAAAUAAAGAAAAUCGAUAUCCUGGCUAUCAUUCAGCAACAAAACCCGAAGCACUCCAUCGUUCCCGUGAAUUUCUUUAUUUGUGAUUAAUCAGCAAUUUAAAGCAAUGCCGCCGCCUCACGCAAUGCCGUGUGGGCCGCAUUGCGGUACUUACUGCGCGCCGCACUGCUAUCACCGCCGACCGCCGCCGCCGCCGCCGUUCCACCACCAUCCGCCGCCACCGCAUCAUCACCAUCCACCGCCGCCACCUCAUCACCACCCGCCACCACCCCCGCAUCAUCACCACCCACCGCCGCCACCGUUCCACCACCCACCGCACCACCACGGGCCACCGCCUCACUGGCGAUAGACUGUUUCGAAAAGAUCUUCAAGCUGUGAUAAAUGAUAAUGUUGAAUCAAUCAUUAAUUUCGAAGAUCUGGUUGUAGCGUGAUUUUAAACCGUUUUAUCGUGCUUCUUGAACAUUGAACGGAUUUUAUUACUGUGUUUGCAAUGUUUUAUUAUUUGUUGUAUUAAAGGAUUUUUUGUUUUCAGAACAA